GAAAUGCGAUAAGUAGUGUGAAUUGCAGAAUUCAGUGAAUCAUCGAAUCUUUGAACGCACAUUGCGCCCCUCGGUAUUCCGUGGGGCAUGCCUGUUCGUGCGUCAUCUACACCCUCAAGCUCUGCUUGGUGUUGGGCGUCUGUCCCGCCUCCGCGCGCGGACUCGCCCCAAAUGCAUUGGCAGCGGUUCCUUGCCCCCCUCUUUGCGCAGCACAUUGCCAUUCGAGGCGGCGGCGGCCCGCGUCCAACAAGCUCAACCCCCCCGUCUUUGACCUCGGAUCAGGUAGGGAUACCCGCUGAACUUAAGC
RNAcentral lists this unclassified non-coding RNA (307 nucleotides) under plant metagenome. RNAcentral's name for it is "partial contains 5.8S ribosomal RNA, internal transcribed spacer 2, and large subunit ribosomal RNA". The stretch from base 1 to 105 matches the Rfam family "5.8S ribosomal RNA", at positions 50 to 154 of the family's 154-position model. The record is from RNAcentral.